UACAGAGGGUGCAAGCGUUAAUCGGAAUUACUGGGCGUAAAGCGUGCGUAGGUGGUUUGUUAAGUCAGGUGUGAAAUCCUCGGGCUCAACCUGGGAACUGCGCUUGAUACUGGCAGACUAGAGUGUGGUAGAGGGUAGUGGAAUUCCCGGUGUAGCGGUGAAAUGCGUAGAUAUCGGGAAGAACAUCAGUGGCGAAGGCGGCUACCUGGACCAACACUGACACUGAGGCACGAAAGCGUGGGGAGCAAACAGG
This 253-nucleotide ribosomal RNA is filed under the name uncultured bacterium. Its description in RNAcentral is "partial 16S ribosomal RNA". It matches the Rfam family "Bacterial small subunit ribosomal RNA", at positions 524 to 776 of the family's 1533-position model. The record is from RNAcentral.